Rosa chinensis is the source of this 353-nucleotide long non-coding RNA. RefSeq lists it as uncharacterized. The record is from RefSeq and is a predicted model, not a curated record. The transcript has 2 exons. NCBI's taxonomy places the organism in Eukaryota, Viridiplantae, Streptophyta, Magnoliopsida, Rosales, Rosaceae.
UGCCAAAGCCAGUUACAAAACGCAUAAUCACUUUUUCGAAUGAGCAGGACUACAUUUCAUUCAGGCAUCAUAUUUAUGACAAGCCUGGAGGUCCUAAAUCCAUUGAGCUGAAGGAGAUUGGUCCGCGGUUUGAGUUGAAGCUUUUCAAGGUUAGAUUCAUCAGUUUACAUUCACAUGAUGUAUGUUAUUGACAUUGUUUGGACAACAGCUGUAAAAGAUAUAUGUUAUGAACACCCCUGCCCCCUCAGAAAGUGGUGGCUGCGGCAUUUGUUUUUCUCUUUUGUGUAGUUUAAUUAGUCUAUUGUUCUUGUAUGUAUUUUUCAAUUACUUCUAUGUUGUGUAGUUUAAUCUUA